RNAcentral lists this non-coding RNA (161 nucleotides) under Candidatus Altimarinota bacterium. RNAcentral's name for it is "6S RNA". It matches the Rfam family "6S / SsrS RNA". From Rfam's summary of the family: E. coli 6S RNA was the first non coding RNA to be sequenced, but its function was unknown until recently. It consists of 184 nucleotides that fold into an extended hairpin structure with a large single-stranded internal bulge. Lineage: Bacteria; Candidatus Altimarinota. The record is from RNAcentral.
UAAGCUCUGCUGUGUUCGUGAGGGGUUCUAUAAACUCUCUCUAUCAUUUGACUUUACGGGAACCCAAUAUUUCUUCUCGCCGUGGCGUGGAGGUGCGGGAGCCCACCUAGGAUUUCCUGGGGGUCAGUACAUAGGAUCAUAACGGCAAUUGUGGAGCUAAA